Molecule: ribosomal RNA, 407 nt
Filed under: uncultured bacterium
Lineage: Bacteria
Description: bacterial SSU rRNA
Rfam family: Bacterial small subunit ribosomal RNA
Source: RNAcentral
GCAUAACGCGAAGAACCUUACCCAGGCUUGACAUGCAGUAGACAGCGCUAGAAAUAGCGUGUUCCUUCGGGACUGCUGCACAGGUGCUGCAUGGCUGUCGUCAGCUCGUGCCGUGAGGUGUUGGGUUAAGUCCCGCAACGAGCGCAACCCUUAUCGUUAGUUGCCAACAUGUAAAGAUGGGAACUCUAAUGAGACUGCCUGGGUUAACCAGGAGGAAGGUGAGGAUGACGUCAAGUCCGCAUGGCCCUUAUGCCUGGGGCUACACACGUGCUACAAUGGCCGGUACAAAAGGCAGCGAAGCCGUGAGGUGGAGCAAAUCCCAAAAGCCGGCCCAGUUCAGAUUGUAGUCUGCAACUCGACUACAUGAAGAUGGAAUUGCUAGUAAUGGCGAGUCAGCUACAUCGCCG